AGAGUUUGAUCCUGGCUCAGGAUGAACGCUAGCUACAGGCUUAACACAUGCAAGUCGAGGGGCAGCAUGAAUAUUGGCUUGCCAAUAUUUGAUGGCGACCGGCGCACGGGUGAGUAACACGUAUCCAACCUUCCGGUUACUCGGGGAUAGGCUUUCGAAAGAAAGAUUAAUACCCGAUGUUGUGUAUCUUUCUCCUGAAAGAUACGCCAAAGGAUUCCGGUAACCGAUGGGGAUGCGUUCCAUUAGGCAGUUGGCGGGGUAACGGCCCACCAAACCUUCGAUGGAUAGGGGUUCUGAGAGGAAGGUCCCCCACAUUGGAACUGAGACACGGUCCAAACUCCUACGGGAGGCAGCAGUGAGGAAUAUUGGUCAAUGGACGGAAGUCUGAACCAGCCAAGUAGCGUGAAGGAUGACUGCCCUCUGGGUUGUAAACUUCUUUUAUACGGGAAUAACAUGAGGUACGCGUACCUUAUUGCAUGUACCGUUAUGAAUAAGCAUCGGCUAACUCCGUGCCAGCAGCCGCGGUAAUACGGAGGAUGCGAGCGUUAUCCGGAUUUAUUGGGUUUAAAGGGAGCGUAGGUGGGAUAUUAAGUCAGCUGUGAAAGUUUGGGGCUCAACCUUAAAAUUGCAGUUGAUACUGGUUUCCUUGAGUACGGUACAGGUGGGCGGAAUUCGUGGUGUAGCGGUGAAAUGCUUAGAUAUCACGAAGAACUCCGAUCGCGAAGGCAGCUCACCGGGCCGGAACUGACACUGAUGCUCGAAAGUGCGGGUAUCAAACAGGAUUAGAUACCCUGGUAGUCCGCACAGUAAACGAUGAAUACUCGCUGUUUGCGAUACACAGUAAGCGGCCAAGCGAAAGCGUUAAGUAUUCCACCUGGGGAGUACGCCGGCAACGGUGAAACUCAAAGGAAUUGACGG
RNAcentral lists this ribosomal RNA (918 nucleotides) under uncultured bacterium. RNAcentral's name for it is "bacterial SSU rRNA". It matches the Rfam family "Bacterial small subunit ribosomal RNA", at positions 8 to 916 of the family's 1533-position model. The record is from RNAcentral.